RNAcentral lists this ribosomal RNA (407 nucleotides) under Verrucomicrobiota bacterium. RNAcentral's name for it is "Verrucomicrobia bacterium partial 16S ribosomal RNA". It matches the Rfam family "Bacterial small subunit ribosomal RNA", at positions 355 to 776 of the family's 1533-position model. The record is from RNAcentral. Lineage: Bacteria; Pseudomonadati; Verrucomicrobiota.
UGGGGAAUAUUGGACAAUGGAGGAAACUCUGAUCCAGCAAUUCUGUGUGUGUGAAGAAGGUUUUAGGACUGUAAAACACUUUUAGUAGGGAAGAAAAAAAUGACGGUACCUACAGAAGAAGCAACGGCUAAAUACGUGCCAGCAGCCGCGGUAAUACGUAUGUUGCGAGCGUUAUCCGGAAUUAUUGGGCUUAAAGGGCAUCUAGGCGGUAAGACAAGUUGAAGGUGAAAACCUGUGGCUCAACCAUAGGCUUGCCUACAAAACUGUUGAACUAGAGUACUGGAAAGGUGGGUGGAACUACACGAGUAGAGGUGAAAUUCGUAGAUAUGUGUAGGAAUGCCGAUGAUGAAGAUAACUCACUGGAGAGAAACUGACGCUGAAGUGCGAAAGCUAGGGGAGCAAACAGG